This 458-nucleotide ribosomal RNA is filed under the name uncultured bacterium. RNAcentral's name for it is "partial 16S ribosomal RNA". It matches the Rfam family "Bacterial small subunit ribosomal RNA", at positions 28 to 507 of the family's 1533-position model. The record is from RNAcentral.
GAUAAACGCUGGCGGCGUGCAUGAGACAUGCAAGUCGAACGAAGGAUCGGGCUUGCUCGAUCCUUAGUGGCGGACGGCUGGGUAACGCGUAGGUGACCUACCCCGAAGUGGGGAAUAACUGCCCGAAAGGGUGGCUAAUACCGCAUGUGGUCGCACGUUCAUUCGUGCGAGUAAAGCCGCAAGGCGCUUCGGGAGGGGCCUGCGUCCGAUUAGCUCGUUGGUGGGGUAAUGGCUUACCAAGGCGACGAUCGGUAGGUGGUCUGAGAGGACGAUCACCCAGACUGGGACUGAGACACGGCCCAGACUCCUACGGGAGGCAGCAGUCGGGAAUUUUGCUCAAUGGGGGAAACCCUGAAGCAGCAACGCCGCGUGAGGGAUGAAGGCCUUCGGGUUGUAAACCUCUUUUGUCAGGGACGAUGAUGACGGUACCUGGCGAAUAAGCCACGGCUAACUACGUG